GUUAUACACUAACGCGGCGCAGAAUCUGGAAAAUACGAAACUAAAACUUAAGUCAUCAGUGGUACGUGAAAAACUUGUGAAUAAAAUGAAGCUGUGGUUUCCACUCUUUCAGAUAGUAUUGAAGGAAUAAGUUGGUCUCUGGGGAAUGAAGAAAGACUCUGGCUGUGGCUGCUUUUAUGGGUUGCUAGCCUUCCUGUGAUUGGGUCCUGCGCUGUGGAAAGCUGUGGAUUCAGUGAAGGUGUUUUAGGAAUAUACACUGAGAAGAAGAAGAAGAAGAAGAAGAAGAAGAAGAAGAAGAACAAGAACAAGAACAAGAACAAGAACAAGAACAAGAACAAGAACAAGUAGUAAGCUUUUUGAAAAAUUAACCAGUGCUGCCACCACAGAUUACCAGUACAGUGAUGUUUUAAUGAUACUCCUUUACCAUCCUCCACAAGAUCAGUGUUAAUUAAAAUUAAACAUCACUAAUGUCAAUAGGUUGUAAAAGAGCUUUGUGUUGUUUUCAUUUCAUACACAGAAUUUUCUAAAGCAC
This 532-nucleotide long non-coding RNA is filed under the name Cyanistes caeruleus (blue tit). RNAcentral describes it as "lncRNA (ENSCCEG00000010869.1)". The record is from RNAcentral. Lineage: Eukaryota; Metazoa; Chordata; Aves; Passeriformes; Paridae.